This 492-nucleotide ribosomal RNA is filed under the name uncultured bacterium. Its description in RNAcentral is "partial 16S ribosomal RNA". It matches the Rfam family "Bacterial small subunit ribosomal RNA", at positions 29 to 507 of the family's 1533-position model. The record is from RNAcentral.
AGUGAACGCUGGCGGUAGGCCUAACACAUGCAAGUCGAACGGCAGCAUAGUAAGAGCUUGCUCUUACGGGUGGCGAGUGGCGGACGGGUGAGGAAUACAUCGGAAUCUACUUUUUCGUGGGGGAUAACGUAGGGAAACUUACGCGAAUACCGCAUACGACCUACGGGUGAAAGCAGGGGAUCUUCGGACCUUGCGCGAUUGAAUGAGCCGAUGUCGGAUUAGUUAGUUGGCGGGGGAAAGGCCCAGCAAGGCGACGAUCCGAAGCUGGUCUGAGAGGAUGAUGAGGCAGACUGGAUGUGAGGCAGAGUCCCGACUCCUGCGCGAGGCAGCAGUGCGGACUAUUAGGCAAUGGAGGAGAGGCUGAUCCUGCCAAACCGCGUAAGUCAAGAAGCACUUCGGCUUGUAAAGCCAUUUUGUUGGGAAAGAAAAGCAGCACGUUAAUACCCCGCUAUUCUGACGGUACCCAAAGAAUAAGCACCGGCUAACUUCGUG